CACAUCUCUCCCACGACACCAGUGACGGUCACCAUUCGAGAGUCCAGGCUGCCGGGCUGCUGGGGGGUGGUGAUAUUUAUCAAUAGGGUGCUGUACCUAUUAGAUCCAAGAUCUGUAGGGCCUACGGGGUGGAUAUGACCUGUAGGACGCUGACUGACUCACUCUACCUUCAUCUUCCUCAGACACUUCUGGCUACAGAACAGCACUGUGGAUGCACGAUCUCCUGGUGGAGUAUGAACCCUGAAACCAAGCGUCUGUGCCCCAGGACGAACCCAUGAUGGUCACAUACACAUGUGCACGCGUCCACACACAUGCACACGCACACGCACAGCCUCCUUGGCAAACAGGAAUCACACUUGCAACAAUCCUCCAGGACGUCUGACCUGCACUCCUCUCUGAACCUAAGCGUUCGUGCUGGAAAGCGCUCAGGGGUGGGCGUCAUUGAUUAG
This 449-nucleotide long non-coding RNA is filed under the name Ursus maritimus (polar bear). Its description in RNAcentral is "lncRNA (ENSUMAG00000019028.1)". Lineage: Eukaryota; Metazoa; Chordata; Mammalia; Carnivora; Ursidae. The record is from RNAcentral.